RNAcentral lists this ribosomal RNA (478 nucleotides) under uncultured bacterium. Its description in RNAcentral is "partial 16S ribosomal RNA". It matches the Rfam family "Bacterial small subunit ribosomal RNA", at positions 28 to 523 of the family's 1533-position model. The record is from RNAcentral.
GACGAACGCUGGCGGCGUGCUUAACACAUGCAAGUCGAACGGUAAGGCCCUUCGGGGUACACGAGUGGCGAACGGGUGAGUAACACGUGGGUGAUCUGCCCUGCACUUCGGGAUAAGCCUGGGAAACUGGGUCUAAUACCGGAUAGGACCCUGGGAUGCAUGUCCUGGGGUGGAAAGCUUUUGCGGUGUGGGAUGGGCCCGCGGCCUAUCAGCUUGUUGGUGGGGUGAUGGCCUACCAAGGCGACGACGGGCAGCCGGCCUGAGAGGGUGACCGGCCACACUGGGACUGAGAUACGGCCCAGACUCCUACGGGAGGUAGCAGUGGGGAAUAUUGCACAAUGGGCGCAAGCCUGAUGCAGCGACGCCGCGUGAGGGAUGACGGCCUUCGGGUUGUAAACCUCUUUCAGCACCGACGAAGCGCAAGUGACGGUAGGUGCAGAAGAAGGACCGGCCAACUACGUGCCAGCAGCCGCCGUAA